RNAcentral lists this ribosomal RNA (208 nucleotides) under uncultured bacterium. RNAcentral's name for it is "partial 16S ribosomal RNA". It matches the Rfam family "Bacterial small subunit ribosomal RNA", at positions 568 to 774 of the family's 1533-position model. The record is from RNAcentral.
CAUGUAGGCGGACUGUUAAGUCUGGUGUGAAAGCCCGGGGCUCAACCCCGGAAGUGCAUUGGAUACUGGCAGUCUUGAGUAUGGGAGAGGAAAGUGGAAUUCCGAGUGUAGGAGUGAAAUCCGUAGAUAUUCGGAGGAACACCAGUGGCGAAGGCGGCUUUCUGGACCAAUACUGACGCUGAGAUGCGAAAGCGGUGGGGAGCAAACA